GUUUCAAAUGGGUUGAAGAUCGUAGCAAGGUCUAUGGUGGAGUCAGGCAUUCCGUUCUCAAGCCUUCUCCCAAGGAAGACAACAGGUGGAAACUCCACCAGUAUUCCAGCUUGGAUCCGAUGGAAAACGCUAUCUACGUCAUGUAUUGCAACAAAGUUGACGUUGAACCACUAUCAGCCGCGGAGGAGGAUGAGGAAUCUGACAGUGAUUGAUUCAAGCGGUUGUAGGUGCAGCUGGAGAGUGAAGUUUAGACACCAUGCUUUUAAAAUGUUUUCAACUUCUAAGUGAACAUCUUUCUUCUUUUUUUUUGACGAUCUACGUGACAUCUUUCAGAAGCCAAUAGUAUAAAGUCUUAUCAACUUUGGCCAAA
Long non-coding RNA from Arabidopsis lyrata subsp. lyrata, 370 nucleotides. RefSeq lists it as uncharacterized. Lineage: Eukaryota; Viridiplantae; Streptophyta; Magnoliopsida; Brassicales; Brassicaceae. The record is from RefSeq and is a predicted model, not a curated record. The transcript has 2 exons.